GUCUGAGAGGGAAUAACUUUUAUCUGAUUACUCUUCAGGACUCCUGCUGCAAAGGACGCACUGAAGUAUUCAUCAUGACUCCUGAUCCAAAUUCUAACUUAACAAGGCCAGGUUAGUGAUGCUGAUACAGAAUACUUACAAGCACAGCACAUCAGAGAUGACUGCAUUUCAGCGGUGAAAGAAGUGAUGCAGAUCCUGACCUCCUGAAAGGCCUGCUGCAGAGCAAUAAAAGGAAGGGAAAUUGCAGAGGAAAGAUGAGAUCUGGAGUGCAUUGUAUGGCCCUAAAUUAUUAGGUAUUUUUAUUGUGUUCUUGCCAAAAAGAGAAAUUGUACUCUAAUUAGGAGAGUACAGAAGAAUAGAUAUUGUAAA
Long non-coding RNA from Chelonia mydas (Green sea turtle), 369 nucleotides. RefSeq lists it as uncharacterized. The transcript is spliced from 3 exons. NCBI's taxonomy places the organism in Eukaryota, Metazoa, Chordata, Testudines, Cheloniidae. The record is from RefSeq and is a predicted model, not a curated record.